GGAUAAAAGUUUUAUAACGUUUAAUUUGCAUUUAAAAAACACUGAUAAUCAGUUUAUCUUA
RNAcentral lists this transfer RNA (61 nucleotides) under Coleoptera sp. ACP-2013. RNAcentral describes it as "tRNA-Ala". The record is from RNAcentral. Lineage: Eukaryota; Metazoa; Arthropoda; Insecta; Coleoptera.